Long non-coding RNA from Fundulus heteroclitus (mummichog), 3092 nucleotides. RefSeq lists it as uncharacterized. The record is from RefSeq and is a predicted model, not a curated record. NCBI's taxonomy places the organism in Eukaryota, Metazoa, Chordata, Actinopteri, Cyprinodontiformes, Fundulidae. The transcript has 2 exons.
CGAUCAAAUAACAUUUUGUAUUUCUCUGCUCCUCGUUAUCAGUCUAAAAUGGAAAAUAAAGCUUUCAGAUUUUCUGCCCACUCCGCUGUGCGUACCCUCUAAUCUGAACGGAAACUGUACGAACUGGUUUCACUGAAAGCCUUCUGCUCCAUCUUAAAGCAACAGCUGAAAUCCUUCGAACAUUGUUUUAAAUCUUAAAGUUUUACUACUUUAAAUGUUAUACUGACGGAUAAAUCUCCUCUGAAAACCCAAGAAGCAUGAGCUUACGCUACGUUUACUGAUCUCUUUUUACACCUUUGUGCUACUUUUAGUCUUGAUGGGUUAUCUUUAAGUUUUGAUUGCUAUAUUAUUUUGAAACCGUGUUUUGCGCUGCAGGCUGCCUUGGUCAGGACAUUAUUGCAAAAGAGAUAUGAGUUCUUCCUGGUUUAAAAAAAAGUAAAUAAAAAUAACUUGUAUGAUUACUAUAAUAUUUGGUUUAGAAGAAAGCUCAGUUGAAAAGCCUUGAAUAUUACUGAAGCACUUAAAAAGAAUCUAAAUGCUUUACUAAAAUCCAAGAUGUGAAAUUGGUCACAGAAGUUUUAUUCUACACUAUACAUCACUUAAUCCGCCUUCAGUGUUACGGGGGAUUAAAAUAAACCGUUGCACGUUCUCUUUUACCUUCAUUUCUGGAUAAAGACCUUCUCAAAACAUGUGACUGACUGAAUCUGCUCACUUCAACAGAUUGAUGCACUUCUUAAUGCGGUGUAACCUAAAUGAGGGAAGAGACGGUUUCCUUCUGAAGUGGAUGUGGGGAGAAAAAAAACAAGCUCAGCAGAGACAGCCUCGUGAAAAUGAAACACUACCUGCCUUCAACUACAAGUCAUUAUUCUCCGUGACCUUCAGCAUGUUUAGAAGGAGAUCUGCUCUGGGUGUCCAGACAUGUGAGGAAAGCCACAUAUUUCUCAGCGCUCCUUCUCUGCCGAAGCAAACGAACAGCUCAGCUAACCGAAGCCGCCGAGGCUUCAACCCAACAGUAAUCGCCGCUUCGUAAAUUCAGAUGAGAGCGAGAGGUUUCCUUCUAGUCCCUGGUAUCCAUUCCUCUCCCUCCUCCCUGUGAUCCAUGUUAUCAUAUGUCAUUAUAAUGGCAUUUCACUUUGCUAACCAACAGCCAAGGAACAUAACAGCCAUUCAUCGGGGAGCUGUAAAUUAAACGACAGUCUGCUCUGCAGUAUAGAUUAUUCUACCGUCCUAAAAAAAUAUUGUCUGCUGUUCCCAUUGAUUGUACCGGUGCGCCAAACUGAGCGAUGCAUUCCUCGGUGCUGAAUAAAUGGAGUUUACCACAUAGACGUCGACGGGUCCCCGCCGUUCACGUGGAAAAGGCUGUCCUGAAUCAUAGCCAUCUCAAAUGCUUUGGAUUUAGUGUUUGUUUGCUGUGUGGCAGCAAGAUGUGUUUUUGAAGAUGCUUCCCUUAAAGCAAAUCCUUCAUCAAAGACAGCUGCAGGUCUCUUCCAAGUACACCAAGUACAACUUCCUACACCAUAUGAAACAAGAUGUGGGCUUCCUGUCCAAACGUGCUGACUGGACUUUGUGCCGGAUGCUGAGACGAAAGGAUCUGCCCCUUUAGAGAUUUAUUCUGGUCUUGUUUUAAUUUUGGGGUCAGACCUAAACGCUUCAGAUCAUCUAUCACAUUAAUAUCAGAGACAGAUAACCAGAGCGGACAGCAGUUUACAAAUUAUGAUCUCAUUAAUUGUGUGUUGAAAAUCCAUCUUAAAACAACCUGGUCUUUAGUAAAAAAAAAAAAAAAAAUAGAAAGAAAAAAAAAAGUAAUUACCACUUGCUCAAUCCUAAAUAACCUGUAAUUAACAACAUUUUUAUGAAAAUUGAGUUCAACAUGGCACACGUCGCCCAUCUUCCUACAUCUCCUAUGGAACCAAGAAAUCACUUAAAAUAUGAUAACGUCCUGUUGAUCUUCAUGAUGAAUGCAUUAUUUUUGCUCACAUUAUUUUUGCAGAAAAUUUGUGACCUCAAGAGCAAGCACUCUUGGUCCACCACACAAUAAAGCUUAAAACAUGAAAAGCUCUUAGAGUGGCCUAGUCAAAGUCCGGACACUAAUCUGACUCAGAUGCUGGACCAUCACCUUAAACAUUGAACAGAAAAUUUUAAAUUUCUGCAAAGAAGAGUGGGCCAUAGCUGCCAGUAAGACCAAAGACUUGAUGGCAGCUGUUGCUGCUAAGGGCGGAACAACCAGCUGUUAGCUUCUCAGGGCCAUUACUUUCACACGGGGCCAGGUUAGUUUUCAUGGCUUCCCUUCAUAAAUGGAGUCACCGUUUGAAAACUGCAUUUUAACUUCACUCAAGCAACCUUCAUCUGCUGUAAAAAGAAAAAAAACUGUUUGACGAUCUGAAACAUUUAGGUGUAAUAAAAUGGAGAAAGCGAGGAAACCUGAAAGGAGAAAGUGCCGUCUCUGCACCGUGUUUGACGCACAGAUCUGCACGCAUUUUUUUUUUCACUGGUUGGGAUUUCUUCUUCCUCCACAGUGUUUGGCUCGACCUUUCGGGCUGUUCUCCAUACAUCUGCCGCAUGUCAGCGUUGAAGCGUUUAAGCUAUUAACAUCUCCUGCUCUACUGCAAUGGUGUCUGGAUCAUUUAGUAGAGUAAAUAGAAGAAAUAUAAGUGAAUAAAUAUGGUUGCUCGAGCUCUCCUAAGGCUUCUCUCCUUGUCACAUGGGGUCUCACGCUGUGAUAUUGUGAUAGCUAUGCAGUGUUUAUGGAGACAGGGAGGAUAAAUAAAUAUUUGAAUAAAAGUGCCAGCAGACCAAGUGGUGGAGUCAUGCUGCUUAAAUUGUGCAUUAAGAGGAUUAUAAACCAAGCUGAAAUAUUCUGUAAAGGCAUUCCUCUUUGCUGUCAUCACUAUUGAUCAGCUCUAGCGAAGGCCAUAAAAACAUGGAAACAUUUUUUGAAAAUGUUGAUACUAUUGUUGUUCACUUUAAUGCACACUAGCUGCAAUACUAAAAAUCAACCAUCGAAACGGCAUCUGGAUUUGUUGAGAGUUUAUAAAAGCAAUAAAAAAUAUCUCCUGCAAACAUCCAACCAAAAAAAACUAAAAAAAAAAAAA